UGUAGGAUAAGCUAAGCCAAGCUGUUGGGCUCAUAACCCAAAAAUGAAUUUUAAAUUCUCCUACAA
This 66-nucleotide transfer RNA is filed under the name Melanoides tuberculata. RNAcentral's name for it is "tRNA-Met". It matches the Rfam family "tRNA". Rfam says of the family: Transfer RNA (tRNA) molecules are approximately 80 nucleotides in length. Their secondary structure includes four short double-helical elements and three loops (D, anti-codon, and T loops). The record is from RNAcentral. Lineage: Eukaryota; Metazoa; Mollusca; Gastropoda; Thiaridae.